UGCCAGCCGCCGCGGUAAUACGGAGGGUGCAAGCGUUGUUCGGAAUCACUGGGCGUAAAGAGCGUGUAGGCGGCUUAGUAAGUCAGGUGUGAGAGCCCAUGGCUCAACCAUGGAAGUGCAUUUGAAACUACUAAGCUUGAGUCCGAGAGAGGAAAACGGAAUUCCUGGUGUAGAGGUGGAAUUCGUAGAUAUCAGGAAGAACACCGGUGGUGAAGGCGGUUUUCUGGAUCGGUACUGACGCUGAGACGCGAAAGCGUGGGGAGCAAACAGGAUUAGAUA
RNAcentral lists this ribosomal RNA (279 nucleotides) under uncultured bacterium. RNAcentral's name for it is "partial 16S ribosomal RNA". It matches the Rfam family "Bacterial small subunit ribosomal RNA", at positions 506 to 784 of the family's 1533-position model. The record is from RNAcentral.